Molecule: ribosomal RNA, 468 nt
Filed under: uncultured bacterium
Lineage: Bacteria
Description: partial 16S ribosomal RNA
Rfam family: Bacterial small subunit ribosomal RNA
Source: RNAcentral
GGCGAACGCUGGCGGCGUGCUUAACACAUGCAAGUCGAACGGAAAGGCCCUGCUUUUGUGGGGUGCUCGAGUGGCGAACGGGUGAGUAACACGUGAGUAACCUGCCCUUGACUUUGGGAUAACUUCAGGAAACUGGGGCUAAUACCGGAUAGGAGCUCCUGCUGCAUGGUGGGGGUUGGAAAGUUUCGGCGGUUGGGGAUGGACUCGCGGCUUAUCAGCUUGUUGGUGGGGUAGUGGCUUACCAAGGCUUUGACGGGUAGCCGGCCUGAGAGGGUGACCGGCCACAUUGGGACUGAGAUACGGCGCAGACUCCUACGGGAGGCAGCAGUGGGGAAUAUUACACAAUGGGCGGAAGCCUGAUGCAGCAACGCCGCGUGCGGGAUGACGGCCUUCGGGUUGUAAACCGCUUUCGCCUGUGACGAAGCGUGAGUGACGGUAAUGGAUAAAGAAGCACCGGCUAACUACGUG